UGAAUACGAGGCACUAAGGUGCUGAAGUAGUGUAUGUCAUACUUCCAAGAAAAGCUUGCACUAUCGUAAGAUAAAAAUGCCUGUACCAUAACCGACACAGGUGGGUAGGUAGAGUAUACUAAGGGGCGCGAGAUAACUCUCUCUAAGGAACUCGGCAAAAUAACUCCGUAACUUCGGGAGAAGGAGUGCCUUAUUCUAUAAGGUUGCAAUAACAAGAUCCAAGCAACUGUUUAUCAAAAACACAGGUCUCCGCUAAGUCGUAAGACGAUGUAUGGGGGCUGACGCCUGCCCAGUGCCAGAAGGUUAAAGAAGUCGGUUAGCAAUUGCGAAGCUGGUAACUGAAGCCCUGGUGAACGGCGGCCGUAACAAUAACGGUCCUAAGGUAGCGAAAUUCCUUGUCGGGUAAGUUCCGACCCGCACGAAAGGCGUAAUGAUUUGGAUACUGUCUCGGAGAGGGACUCGGUGAAAUAGACUUGUCUGUGAAGAUGCGGACUACCUGCACCAGGACAGAAAGACCCUAUGAAGCUUUACUGUAACUUGAAAUUGAAAUUGGACUUUAUUCGCGCAGUAUAGGUGGGAGGCGUUGAUUAUAAUCUUGUGGGAUUAUUGGAGCCAUUAGUGAGAUACCACUCUUGUAAUGUUAGAUUUCUAACUUUGAAUCAUGAUCUGGUCAAAGAACAGUUUCAGGCGGGCAGUUUGACUGGGGCGGUCGCCUCCUAAAUGGUAACGGAGGCGUACAAAGGUUUCCUCUGAACGGGUAGAAAUCGUAUCUAGAGUGUAAAGGCAUAAGGAAGCUUGACUGUGAGACCUACAAGUCGAGCAGGGACGAAAGUCGGUCUUAGUGAUCUGACGGUACUGAGUGGAAAGGCCGUCACUCAACGGAUAAAAGUUACUCUAGGAUAACAGGCUGAUCUCCCCCAAGAGUUCACAUCGACGGGGAGGUUUGGCACCUCGAUGUCGGCUCAUCGCAUCCUGGGGCGGUAGUACGUCCCAAGGGUUGGGCUGUUCGCCCAUGAAAGCGGUACGCGAGCUGGGUUCAGAACGUCGUGAGACAGUUCGGUCCAUAUCCGGUGUAGGCGUUAGAAUAUUGAGAGGAGCCUUCUUUAGUACGAGAGGACCGAGAAGGACAUACCUCUGGUGUACCAGUUAUCGUGCCAACGGUAAACGCUGGGUAGCUAUGUAUGGAGUGGAUAACCGCUGAAAGCAUCUAAGUGGGAAGCCCACCUCAAGAUAAGUAUUCCC
Molecule: ribosomal RNA, 1242 nt
Filed under: metagenome
Description: bacterial LSU rRNA
Rfam family: Bacterial large subunit ribosomal RNA
Source: RNAcentral